CUGUCGAAGAAUGACAUCGUUGCAAGCACGAUUUAAGUAAUUACACAUGUAACGUACCAACUUCAGUGCCUCAUCAUCUCAACCUAAUAAGAAGAGGAUAUCGAGCUCUGAUUUAUAGUGGGGAUCAUGAUCUCGAUAUACCAUUUAUUGGCACACUUAAGUGGGUAAGAUCCCUCAACUUCUCUAUUGUUGAAAAUUGGCGAUCAUGGCGUGCUGGCGGCCAAGUUGCAGGGUAUACAAUGCUGUUCUCAAACAAUCUGACAUUUGCAACUGUGAAGGGUGGAAGUCAUACAGCUCCAAAUAAUAUGCCUUUGCAAUGCUUCGUUAUGUUUGAAAGGUGGAUUUCUCACAAGUCUCUAUGAUUAAUCUGACCUUAUGAACAAAUUUAUUGCAGAACAAAAUAAAUAAAUAAAGCUUUUCUU
Phalaenopsis equestris is the source of this 422-nucleotide long non-coding RNA. RefSeq lists it as uncharacterized. The record is from RefSeq and is a predicted model, not a curated record. The transcript has 4 exons. Lineage: Eukaryota; Viridiplantae; Streptophyta; Magnoliopsida; Asparagales; Orchidaceae.